CCUGCCCCGGCCGGGCGGGCGGGCGGCGACGUGGCGCCCGCAACAGGCGGCGUCUCCGUGCCGUGAGGGCAGCGUAGGCAGCUCCUGCGGCCUGAUCCGCCCUGCUGCUUCUAUGCGGUUUAUUUGCCUUGGAUUACCGAAGUUGAUAGAAAUUUUUGCCAUUGCAGGUUUAAUCUAAACCAGCUGUUAUAGAAAUGAAAUUAAAGAAAAAUGUGCUUUAUUACAUUAAAUCACCUGCAAGUUAUUGAUUUUUCUCUAAGAAACAAUUUAAUUUUAAUAAUUUCCUAUUUAAGCACAAAGUUUUAGGACAUGAAGAUGCACUGGGAGGAAGUAUUACAUCAAAGAUGUGCUUGCUACAGCCAGCGACAUUUCUUUACGUUAUGAGAAUUCACGUUGCCAUUAACACAAGUAUUUGUAUGAAGGCUUGCUGCGGCUUCGCAGCCAAAAUACAACAUCCACCCUGAGUAUUUCUUGGAGACACAGGACUGAAAUUUCCUGAAAGCGCAGCUAUGCAUCAGAUUUGGAAGCUGAGAUCUCAAGGCAAACCAUACUAGUGCAGAAGAGCAAGAACUGGAAGAGGAGAAGACAGAUUGAAACAGAAUAAAAUGAGGAACAGGAGGACUUGGCCUCAGUGGACCAGGAGACAACAUCAAAAAGUUGAGUGGGGAGUGCUGGAGAGGUAACAAGAGAAUUGUGAAGCAGGGCAAAUACCAUGGCAGAAAGAAAGAAAUGUUUUUCCUCGAACAAUGAAGUAGGAGCCAGAACUGGUUGAGUGAGAUGAAGAUGAGGAUCCCAGAGAGAAGGGAGAGAGGACUGAAGGUAGGUCAGGCAGGAACAAGCACACAGAGCAUCAGGCUUGUGGUUGGGAGAGGGGAGGAUCUUUGCUGCUUUCCAUGGUCUGGAGCUUCUCAGACUGACCUCUCUGUAGUUGUCAGUGCACAUAAUUACUGCUUUCCUCAAGAGACGGGUCUGUGCCAAUGCUAAGUUUCUAUGUUUGCAGAAGAAUUAUAGAGGUGUCAGUAUGAUGCCAUAGGAUAGAAUUUAAUUUUCAGAUAUUGUUCUUAAAUUGUUGCAAGAAAAGCAAAAAGAAGACAAAACCCCAAAAUUAAAAUAAAUACAUAAGUAAAUAAAUUGAGAUUUGUAGAAUCAAGCAUCUAAAUGAGAAGAUGCCAUAACGUUUGUAAGUGGUACUUCUGUUUUGUGAAACAGUGUGAUGGGUUCUUUGGCAAAAGUAAGGCAACAUGCAUUUUUCCAGCUAGUGGCAGUGCCAUAAUGUUAGUAACAAUCACAGCAUCAGAGAGUCAUUAAGGAUGGAAAAGACCCUUAAGAUCAUCAAGUCCAGCCAUCAACUUAUAAAUGUUCAAAAAUGUGUGGAUAUGGCACUUGAGGACAUGGUUUAAUAGUUCGCUCUGGGCAGUCUGUUCCAAUCCUUCACAACCCCUUCCAUGAAGACAUUUUUCCUAAUAUCCAGUGUAACACCCCCCCCCCCCCCCUCCACCCCUGGCAGAACUUGAAACCAUUUCCUCUCAUCCUGUUACUUGUUACCUGGGAGAAGAGACUGGCACCCACCUGGCUACGGCCUCCUUUCCCAGAUACUUGUAGAGAGCAGUAAGGUCUGCCUCCUUUUCCCCAGGUUAAACAAUGUCCUGCUCAAUUAUGCCCAUGUACAAGAAACAGAGAGGCAUUCUUAGUGACUGGCAGUAAAAUGCCAGGAUUUUUCCGCCACUUAGUCAUUUCCAGCAGGCCGGUUGUUUUCACCAGCACGCACAAAUGGCAGCAACAGUGGGAAACUUCAUCAGAAAACAGGCAGAAGUUUUACAAAAAGCUGGCUGUGGAGUCACUUCCUUUGCCAAUUCAGCCACGCCUGGUGCUGACACACUUUCCCCAGAGACUGUAGCAAAGUCAGGUCUCUACUGGAAAACGAGUGAAUGACAGCAUCACAGGGCACUGAAAUGUAGCAGCACACUGAGGGAAGAGUAAAUAAAACAUGUUGUUUAGGAUAUUUCAUGUUUUAACAUGUUUUGAAGACUGGUGGUUGUUUUAGAAUAUAAGUAUUUUUGUGGAGGAUUCCACCACAUACCUCUUCAGUUCAUGGGUAAGAGCUGCUAGUAGACAUCUUAAGUCUCUAUGACAUUAUCCAGCACAAUCAAGAAAGAGAACGCUCCAGCGACUACAAAAUUUAACUAAAAUAGCAAGCAGAAAGAAGUUAUGUCUUUCGUGGUGAUGGUGCAGGCAAAAAAAAAGCCAGCCAAAAAUAGGAGAAAGCCCUUUACAAAUCCCAAAGCCUAAGUUAAAAAAAACAACCUGAAGAGAAUUGUUAGGAGAGUAUGCAAAAGCAUGCAUAUAACAGCUAUUUUCAGUGGCAGUUGGGCAUUCACAGCGCUUUUGACAGUAAUACCAGGUUCUUAUUUUUUGUCCUUUAUAGCCCAGAGUAUGUUCAGUAAGCAGUCUUUUUUUACAAAUAAACAGUCUGUUGAACUAUGACUAGGACACCAUUUUUUGUCAGUUUUGAAAAUGCUCACCAGUAUCAAACAGAUGGCUGUAGUUUUGGUGCUUUCGCUUGGGGCCUGCAGCAGAAUUUUGUGUUCUUUCUGAAAAUACUGCCACGCAUAGAAAAGCAAUUUUUGGGUUCAAGUCAGUGGGAAAUUAUAGUAGUGCAACCUAGGGUCACUCAGCAUUUGAAAGGCAGCUAACUGCUUUGCCACACAACUUCUGCUGUCAUUUUCAGCACACAUAUGUGCAUGCAUGCUGUAAAUCCUGGGAAGUAUGAUAAUCUCUCUGUUUAGCUACAGGGUAGGCAAAACUCUUUCAGUGAAGAGGGUUUUGCUCAAUUUAUAGACAGGCAUCAAGUCAAUGAAAACUACCAGCUGAUUUUUAUAAUGCAUCCAAGAUAGUUUUGCCUCAAAGCAGGUAGUUGUUUUGAAAUUUUGUUUUAUUUCAAGAAUAUGUUUUAAAUUUUUGCUAUUUUUAAACCUGAAAAAUCAUGGGGAAAUAAAAUAAUUUUCUCUUUUAUCUUCUUAUUUUUCUUUUUCCCCCCCCUGCCAGUUAAUAAAAAUAUCAGUUAUCCAUAGAGUUCUAAUCCCUUGUGACAUUUUUAGGGUGCCUUAAUUUCUGAGAAAUGAUAAAACAAACCUAAGGGUUUACUUAGAAAUUUGAUCCUUCAGUUUGGCUUUUUGAGUUUGCAGCUCUUUAUUUGUAUAUGUUGCUGACCACUACUGAAAAGAAUAGUCUUAGUCUGAUGCAGCCAGUUGGGAAAAUUCCUUGCUUUUUUACUUAUGUGGAAAUAUGUAAAGCUUUUAACAAAAGUCAAAUAAUGCCAUUUUAGUUCUGUCUCACUUUUAUGCCAGACUGAGAAAAGGGUGCUGGGUUUAGGACUGUGCUUUGUUAGGAAAUUUGCAGAGAUUGUGUGGGAUACCACCCAAACAGGUGAUUUUAUUUUAAUGUGCAGGCUUGGGAAAAUAGUUUGUGUAAGUGAACAAGCAAAUAAAUUUCGGACAAGGAGUAAUUUGCUUUAUUAAUGAUUUUCUACCCUCCCCUUAUGAAUUGUCAUUGCAUUGACUCAUUAAAGUCACUCCGGUUGCAGUGUUUGCUGGUUUCUCUGUAUCUUGAUGAUCUGAUUAAUUCCAUUUUGUUACUCUAACUGUAUUCUUAUUCUGACAAGGAACUCAAAUUUAUUUGCUUAUUUGAUUUACUAAUUCAGUUUUCCAGGAAAACCUGUGUAAUUAAUUUUUUUUUCUUUAGGGUUUGAAUAAGUUUCCAUUGGGUCAAACAUAAAUUUGUUGAGUGUUAAAAGUUUCUGAAUUGAAUCACAAUGUAAUUGUAAGACGCAAAUGCUCUUUUUUCUUAGUGUUUUAUUAGAUUUCCUUGGACAUAUUUCUGAUAAAAAAGUAUGCUACGGGUCUUUCUCACGAGAAAGGUAGAAUUAUGAUGUUUUCAAAAAGAAAUGUUGCAAUGUUAUAUUGCCACUCCUAUAUUAUAUUGUCAUGAAAUUCAGACUCCUAAGCUGUUAUCAAAUAUUAAAUCAGCAUGAAAAGCAAUUUCUCAGUAUGAUGGAUUACUACUGAGAUAUGAAUCAAAUUCAGGAGGCUUGUACCAAAUUAAGAAAUUGUUCUGUAUGCCUUUUUCACAAAAGCAGUCUGUUACUCUGUUAAUAUCUAUUGUAGCUAUGACUGCUUUUUACAUUUGCUCCUCCCCACUCUAUAAUAUUAUUUUAGCUGUUAAGUUUUAGAUAUGGUGCAUGCUAGAGUGACAUAAUUUGUUGUAGGUUUCUUUUCUUUCAAGAACAGGUUGGUGUUUGCCAUACAGCUGAAGUAAAAAUUUAUAUUGAGUUCAUAUGAGAAUUCUGCCUUUAAGGAAAUCCAAAUGGAAACUGCUAUCACAAUACAUCCUCACAUUAAGCUAAAAUUUAUUGCUUUUUAUUAAAUGAAAAUAAAAUUAUAUAAAAAUGGCUUUACCACUAUAUACUAAAAGGAAAAUAAAGAGAAUAAAUGUGUGUGAGUUUCCAGA
Haemorhous mexicanus (house finch) is the source of this 4506-nucleotide long non-coding RNA. RefSeq lists it as uncharacterized. NCBI's taxonomy places the organism in Eukaryota, Metazoa, Chordata, Aves, Passeriformes, Fringillidae. The record is from RefSeq and is a predicted model, not a curated record. The transcript has 2 exons.